GCUGGGUGGAGGCUGUGGGGAGCUGGAGCUCGGCCUAGCUGCAGCCUCAGUGGGGCAGGGGCUGGAGGCCCUGGGGCUGCUGUGGGGCCUGGGGCUGGCCACAGGGAGAAGAGAGGCCGGCAGCACCCUUGGGGCCAUGACAGCCACCCACCACACUAAGGCACAGGAUUUAAAGAGGAUUUAUUCCUGGGCUCCUUCUGGAGGAGAGGUGAGCAGAGCCAUGCUCUCCACCAGCCCUGCUGCUGUUUGCCAGAGCCACCCUCACAGUGAUGCUGCUUCUAGAGAGGUUUGCUGUCAUCGGCUAGCCACCAAAUUUUCCACAUCACCUCUACUCAGCUGGCUCGAGCCCUCCAGCCCAGACAGAAUGAGCUAUGCAGAUUGGUGAGAAGUGAUGGAACCGCUCCUCCUCCUUAUCUGUCUCACACCCUCUCUCUGGAUCAGCUAGCCAAAGAACUGACAUCCUGCGAGGGGCUUAAGCAGCUUGCCAGGAAUACCUAGGAAGCAGAAGGGCACUGGAACCGUAAAUCUAAACCGUAAAUCUUGCUAAACAAAAUCUGUGGUGAUAUACAUAAAAAUCCAAGCUCUACACAGAGCUCUAUAAACUGAAAUUCUCAAUUUCCUCCCCUGCUAGAGAAAGUACCUAUUACUUCAAGACUUCUGGAGAAAGGAUGCCAUUAUUUAUUAAAUUCCAUACAAUAAAAGUCUGAUGAACCCUAAUGAUGUUAUCCCA
Molecule: long non-coding RNA, 730 nt
Filed under: Anser brachyrhynchus (Pink-footed goose)
Lineage: Eukaryota; Metazoa; Chordata; Aves; Anseriformes; Anatidae
Description: lncRNA (ENSABRG00000006753.1)
Source: RNAcentral